Molecule: long non-coding RNA, 184 nt
Organism: Telopea speciosissima
Lineage: Eukaryota; Viridiplantae; Streptophyta; Magnoliopsida; Proteales; Proteaceae
Exons: 3
Source: RefSeq, a predicted model, not a curated record
UGAGGGCAAUUUGUACUUUUCGAUUUGGGAUUGUUUCACUAUAUAUUUGUAGUGAAGGUUUUUUUCUCUGUAAUCAAUCUAAGAGAGGUGUGAGGACGAACGACUGUAACCAUAUUCUCCAUUGAUAGUGAAGCAGAUCUCAUCUCACAGUGGACAUAGAUAAUCUUGCCGAAUCACAAAUACU